CAUGCAAGUCGAACGAAGUAGCAAUACUUAGUGGCAGACGGGUGAGUAACAUGUAGGUAUCUGCCCUUUGGCCUGGAAUAACACGAGGAAACUUGUGCUAAUACCGGAUAAGUCUUUACGGAGAAAGCUUUAUGCACCAUUGGAUGAGCCUGCACUUGAUUAGUUUGUUGGUGGGGUAAUGGCCUACCAAGACUGUGAUCAAUAGCUGAUUUGAGAGGAUGAUCAGCCACAUUGGGACUGAGACACGGCCCAAACUCCUACGGGAGGCAGCAGUGGGGAAUCUUGCACAAUGGAGGAAACUCUGAUGCAGCGAUGCCGCGUGAGUGAAGAAGGCCUUUGGGUUGUAAAGCUCUUUCGUCGGGGAAGAAAAUGACUGUACCCGAAUAAG
Molecule: ribosomal RNA, 388 nt
Filed under: uncultured Pseudomonadota bacterium
Lineage: Bacteria; Pseudomonadati; Pseudomonadota
Description: bacterial SSU rRNA
Rfam family: Bacterial small subunit ribosomal RNA
Source: RNAcentral